AUUCUUUACUGGCUCCCAUGUGCAUUCACUAAUACCAUAUCGAUACCAAUGGAUAGUAUAUUCUAAUUUAUUUAUGCACCGCUGUCAUAAUACAUGAAGUCUUAUUUGAAAAUGCUCCAUGCACCUAGCACUGUAGUAUUCGGAGCUUUCAUAAAAAUAAUAAGAAUUCUUAAAGAAAUAUUAGAAGGAUCACAAAUAUCACUCAAAUACAUCUCAAUUCAAUCUUAAUUUAAUUCUAGUUAAAAUCCUAUUGAACUUCAUUCAAACUUUAGGCCAAAACUAAUUAAAUCUUAAAUCCUAAUAAAAUCCUAAACCCUAAAUCAAACCCUAAUCCAAAUCCUAAAUCCUAAAUCAAAUCCUAAUCAAAUUCUAAAACCUAAAUAAAACUCUAACUAAAUCCUCAAUCCUAAAUCAAACCCUAAUCCAAACCCUAAAUCCUAAAUCAAACCCUAAUCAAAUCCUAAACCCUAAAUAAAAUCUUAACCAAAUCCUAAACCAAAUCCUAAAUCCUAAAUCAAAUACUAACCAAAUCCUAAAUCCUAAAUAAAUCCUAACCAAAUCCUAAACCCUAA
RNAcentral lists this long non-coding RNA (572 nucleotides) under Physcomitrium patens. RNAcentral's name for it is "long non-coding RNA (PPAT_LNC012996)". The record is from RNAcentral. Lineage: Eukaryota; Viridiplantae; Streptophyta; Bryopsida; Funariales; Funariaceae.